This 829-nucleotide ribosomal RNA is filed under the name uncultured marine microorganism. RNAcentral describes it as "bacterial SSU rRNA". It matches the Rfam family "Bacterial small subunit ribosomal RNA", at positions 8 to 881 of the family's 1533-position model. The record is from RNAcentral.
AGAGUUUGAUCAUGGCUCAGGAUGAACGCUGGCGGUAUGCCUAACACAUGCAAGUCGAACGAUGUCUUCGGACAUAGUGGCGGACGGGUGAGUAACGCGUGAGAAUCUGCCUCUAGGAUGGGGAUAACGGUUGGAAACGACCGCUAACACCCAAUAUGCCGUAAGGUGAAAAAUUUAUUGCCUGGAGAGGAGCUCGCGUCUGAUUAGCUAGUUGGUGGGGUAAGAGCUCACCAAGGCUUCGAUCAGUAGCUGGUCUGAGAGGAUGAGCAGCCACACUGGGACUGAGACACGGCCCAGACUCCUACGGGAGGCAGCAGUGGGGAAUUUUCCGCAAUGGGCGAAAGCCUGACGGAGCAAUACCGCGUGAGGGAGGAAUGCCUUUGGGUUGUAAACCUCUUUUCUCAGGGAAGAAGAUCUGACGGUACCUGAGGAAUAAGUAUCGGCUAACUCCGUGCCAGCAGCCGCGGUAAUACGGAGGAUGCAAGCGUUAUCCGGAAUCAUUGGGCGUAAAGCGUCCGCAGGUGGUUUCCAAAGUCUGCUGUUAAAGACUGGAGCUCAACUCCGGAACGGCGGUGGAAACUUGGAAACUAGAGUUCGGUAGGGGUAGCAGGAAUUCCCAGUGUAGCGGUGAAAUGCGUAGAUAUUGGGAAGAACAUCGGUGGCGAAGGCGUGCUACUGGACCGUAACUGACACUCAGGGACGAAAGCUAGGGGAGCGAAAGGGAUUAGAUACCCCUGUAGUCCUAGCUGUAAACGAUGGAAACUAGGUGUGGCUUGUAUCGACCCGAGCCGUGCCGUANCUAACGCGUUAAGUUUCCCGCCUGGGGAGU